RNA transcript from Phoenix dactylifera (date palm), 2059 nucleotides. It is a transcript of the gene named isovaleryl-CoA-dehydrogenase, with no coding region annotated. NCBI's taxonomy places the organism in Eukaryota, Viridiplantae, Streptophyta, Magnoliopsida, Arecales, Arecaceae. The record is from RefSeq and is a predicted model, not a curated record.
AUGCAGAGGUUUUCCGCUGCGAGACGCGUCGUAGCUCUUCUCCAGAAUCGGAGCCGGCAAAGGGCUUCGUUCUCCACCUCGCUCCUCUUCGAUGAUACCCAGAAACAGUUUAAGGAGAGCGUCUAUCAAUUUGCACAAGAAACCAUUGCCCCACAUGCCGCAACCAUUGAUGCAACGAACUGCUUUCCGAAGGAUGUUAACUUGUGGAAACUCAUGGGAGAUUUCAAUCUCCAUGGCAUCACUGCACCAGAGGAAUAUGGAGGACUUGGUAUUGGUUACUUAUACCACUGUAUAGCAAUGGAGGAAAUAAGUCGUGCUUCUGGAUCUGUUGGCCUUUCUUAUGGUGCUCAUUCAAACCUUUGCAUUAAUCAAUUGGUGCGACAUGGGAGCUCUGCACAAAAGCAGAAGUAUUUGCCAAAGCUAAUCAGUGGGGAGCAUGUAGGGGCAUUGGCUAUGAGUGAAUCCAAUGCUGGUUCCGAUGUUGUCAGUAUGAAAUGCAAAGCUGAUCGAGUUGAUGGUGGUUAUGUCAUAAACGGGAAUAAGAUGUGGUGUACAAAUGGGCCGGUUGCUCAAACUUUGGUAGUGUAUGCAAAAACAGAUGUCCAUGCUGGAUCAAAAGGAAUUACUGCAUUUAUAAUUGAGAAAGGGAUGCCGGGUUUCAGUAUUGCGCAGAAAUUGGACAAACUUGGCAUGAGAGGAAGUGAUACAUGUGAGCUUGUAUUUGACAAUUGCUUUAUUCCUGAAGAAAAUAUACUUGGUCAAGUGGGAAAAGGAGUCUAUGUCAUGAUGUCUGGGCUAGAUUUGGAAAGGCUUGUUUUAGCUGCUGGUCCCCUUGGUCUUAUGCAGGCAUGCCUUGAUGCAGCUAUUCCUUAUGUUCGCCAGCGGGAACAGUUUGGCCAUCCGAUUGGGGAAUUUCAAUUUAUACAGGGAAAGUUGGCUGACAUGUAUACAUCUGUGCAGUCAUCGAGAGCAUUUGUGUAUUCUGUUGCUAGGGACUGUGAUAAUGGAAAAAUUGACCGGAAGGAUUGUGCGGGAGUAAUUCUUCUAGCUGCUGAGAAGGCCACCCAAGUUGCUCUUCAGGCAAUUCAAUGUCUUGGUGGCAAUGGGUACGUGAAUGAGUACCCAACAGGUCGUCUUCUGAGAGAUGCAAAACUAUUUGAGAUUGGUGCUGGGACUAGCGAAAUCAGACGAAUGAUCAUUGGUCGUGAACUUUUCAAACAAGGCUAACAAGAAGAUGAUUUCCAUAUGAUUAUUAUGAACGUACUCUGUAGAAUCACUGCUUGGAGCAGCAGGUGACAAGGGAGAUGCAAUGCAGGGUAUUGUUGAUCAAAAUCAGUUGAUCUGUCCACCAGCCUGACUUGUAUCAACACAUUAUCUCUUCUACAUAAUUGGGCGGCCACCCACGUGGCUAACCACGCCGGCAGUAUUGUGUGGAUAAGGGAUGAGGAGCUGCCUCGGGAGCUCUAUGAUAUUUUGGUUUUUGACUUUAUUGAGUAUAUUUGUACAUGUGUUGUAUGAAUUACCUGUCGUAGUGGGAAAAAAAAAAAAAUAACUUGACUUGCAACAAUUUGGCAUGGGACCUGAGUGGCAGUGGCCGGUGCUGGUGGAACAAUAAUCUCCUGCUGGAGCCCAGUAAUUUUUGGUGAGAGAUUGGCUGUGGUGCUUCCCACCUUAGGCUGGGAUGGAUGUUCAUUGUCCGGGAUGUCUGUUGAAUUGCAGGCUGAAACUCUUAUGCUUUGUUCGAUUGGUUGCUGGGCGACUAAUCCAAAUUCAGUGUAUAUGGUAUUACAGAAAGUAUCGUGCCUGUCGUUAGCAGAAGACAACAACAGGCAUCCAAACAGAGGAUUUCAGAUUGGACCAAAAAGCUGUUAGUGGAUAAAUUAUGGGAAUGAUGCCCUUGGCUCUCUCACAAAUUUGAUAAUUGGAGCUGAAGCAUUCUUCACUCGGAGCAUCUCUAAAUGUAUUUUACUGAUCAAAUAAAAGCUAGCAACUGGUUUCAUGGAGUAGCCUCGGACAUGGAGUAGCCUUGGAUAUUCUCAAUUCAACUAAAUGUGUUUUU